RNAcentral lists this ribosomal RNA (385 nucleotides) under uncultured bacterium. RNAcentral describes it as "bacterial SSU rRNA". It matches the Rfam family "Bacterial small subunit ribosomal RNA", at positions 30 to 416 of the family's 1533-position model. The record is from RNAcentral.
AUUGAACGCUGGCGGCAUGCCUUACACAUGCAAGUCGGACGGCAGCACGGGGCAACCUGGUGGCGAGUGGCGAACGGGUGAGUAAUGCAUCGGAACGUGCCAUUGAGUGGGGGAUAACGUAGCGAAAGUUGCGCUAAUACCGCAUAUUCUGUGAGCAGGAAAGCAGGGGGACCGCAAGGCCUUGCGCUCUUUGAGCGGCCGAUGUCAGAUUAGCUAGUUGGUGAGGUAACGGCUUACCAAGGCGACGAUCUGUAGCGGGUCUGAGAGGAUGAUCCGCCACACUGGAACUGAGACACGGUCCAGACUCCUACGGGAGGCAGCAGUGGGGAAUUUUGGACAAUGGGCGCAAGCCUGAUCCAGCCAUGCCGCGUGAGUGAAGAAGGCC